This 9420-nucleotide long non-coding RNA is filed under the name Gossypium barbadense (sea-island cotton). RNAcentral describes it as "long non-coding RNA (GBAR_LNC009444)". The record is from RNAcentral. Lineage: Eukaryota; Viridiplantae; Streptophyta; Magnoliopsida; Malvales; Malvaceae.
GGAAUUUUAGCAUCAUCUUUUUCCUACUUUUCUAAUUUCUGCAAUUUGCAUCUGCUAUCGCUUAUCUUUUAUCGUCUAUUUGCCCAAGUAUUUUCCUAGUGCAAUUAUUACUGGUAGGUCUCAUUUGUCUUUACUUUUUCUAUACCAUUAUUAGCUUUAUUUUAUCUUUAUUGAAACACGACUCUUGAGAACUACUAGAAUGUAGAGUUUGUGUUCUACAUCACUAGAGGAGAUGUGGAAACUACUAGAAUGUAGAGGAAUCACUUGCUUCAACAAUUUCAAGUAUAAAUUUAAGACUAUGACAAGGAGGCACUAUUUGAGUGAAAUGGAAAACCACAAAAGAAAGAAUACUUAGUUUUUACUACCCUUGUAUGUAUUUUAAGCAGGGUUUCAUUUGCCCCUACAUCCUUUUUUUUCAAAAUUUUGAAUUCCUAUAGAGUGGCUCAUAGACAAUUGAUGGAUUCUUCCUCGUGGAUUUUAAUGGCUUAUUUUUUGGAUUGCCACUUACAUGGAGACGAAGCUAUUGUGAAUGUAUUUAGGAGGAUAUACAUAGUAAAUCCUACCAGUAAAGCUAAUCAUAAGGGGUUUAUGAUGUUUACUACUCGAAAGGGACAAAAGGCCAUCGUUAAUAAUACCACUAGUAACCCGCGUUUGAUGCGAGAUAAAUACAUCAAGAUCAAACAAAGUUCUGGUGGUGAGUUCCCUUCCCUUUCGCUUGGAUGAAACCUUCCAAUGAGAGAAGCACUUAGGAUCCCCUUUCAUUGAACCAAGUAGAGGAGGCUCAAUUGAAAAGGUUGUAAAUAAGUUCACCUAUAAGAUAUGAACAAGUGCACAACCUAAGGAAUGUGUGGUAAUUUUUCUGAUGGAAAAAAGUCCCAACAAUUUCGAUGAUGUGAGCUUCAAUACUCUUAAUGAAAAUCAAUUUGUUGGAAUGAAGUCCUGUAUUGAAGCUUGGCCCUAUUGGAAUAACAAGAUAAUAGCAGAGAUUCUUUUGGGAUUAUGUGAAGAGCCUAAGGAUUGGCUUUCUUCCCAUGUUCAUUGUCUCGAGUGAAAAUGAGAUUAUAAAAGUAGCAAAAGAGAAAGUAAUAGUGCUUGUAACAAUCCGUUUUUUAGUGGUGUCAAAAAUAGUGGUUUCGGGGUCACAAAUUCGACGAGUGAAUUUGUAAAUAUUAUUAUUUAAUAUUUAUGAGUCAAAUAUAGUAUUUUAAUAAAUUUUGAUUUGAUAAUUUAUGUUAUUUGAAUGAAUAGCUAAGUUCAAAUGGUUAGUCCCUUAAUCAAGUGGUUUAAAAAAAAGAAGUAUCGGAAUCUUAUUUCUAUGUGUGAACUUCAAUACUCUUAAUGAAAAUCAAUUUGUUGGAGUGAAGUCGUGUAUUGAAGCUUGGCCCCAUGGGAAUAACAACAUAAUAGCGGAGAUUCUUUUGGGAUUAUGUGAAGAGCCUAAGGAUUGGCUUUCUUCCCAUGUUCAUUGUGUGGAGUGAAAAUGAGAUUAUAAAAGUAGCAAAGGAGAAACAACAGUGCUUGUAACAACUCGUUUUUCAGUGGUGUCAAAAAUAGUGGUUUCAAUGCCACAAAUUCGACAAGUGAAUUCGUAAAUAUUAUUAUUUAAUAUUUUUUAUUAAAUAUUUUGAAGUGGUUAUAUAGUUGUAUUAAGACUUUGGUUAAGAAAUGUUAGCGUUUAAAUAGUUAAUUAGGUAAAAAAGACUAAUUUAAAAAAUAUGUAAAAGUUCAUUUCUAUUAGUAAAAAGGAUCAAAUGAUAUGAAAUCUCAAAUUAAUGGACUUAACGAGUAAUAAUACCAUAUCUUAAGUUGGUGAAUGUCUAUGGAUUGGUUUUUUGUGUAAUUUUGGUGUUUUUAAAACGUUAAAAUUGUAAAUAGGUAAAUAGAAAAAUUAAAAUUAAAAUAAAAGAUGAUAAAAUAAUAUCAUAAUCUUUUUCCUUUUACUUUUGUUGCAAAACCGAAUAGCGAUGGGUAAGGGAGAAGCAAGUUUGGUCCAAGCUUAAAUUCAUUGCAUGUAUGGUAUAUUUCUCCGUUUUUAGUAAUUUUUAUGUUUUUGAAUUCGUAUUAGUUUAAUUUAGCUAGUUCAGGGAUCAAUUUGUAAAGUUGUUAAAAUUUUAGGGACUUGCCAUGAAUGAUUUUAACGUGUUUUUGAAUUUAGUUGGUGAACUAUUAAAGUUAGUAACUAGAUAUAUAAUGACCCCUAUAGUCAGGGGUGUUGGAAAGUACAUUCUCGGGACUCUAUUCCCGUGAAUUGGACUCGUAAAUAUUUAUAUCGUAAAUAUUUUUAAUAAAUAUUUACGAAAAAAUAUUUACGAAGUUAGUUGUGUAGUUAAUUAGAUCUUGGUUAAAUGAAUUUGCAUGAAUUAAAAGUUAAUAAGUAUAAGGACUAAAUCGCGUAUAAGGUAAAAGUUGAAUUAUGAUUUAAAAAUAAUUAAAGGGAUUAAAGAAUCAAUUAUACAUUUGUUUCUUUAAGUGUAAUGAUGAUUAUAUAUAUUUAUAUGUUAACUUAUUAUUAUAUGUACAUGUUAUAUGUUUUAAUUAAAUGAAAUAAAAUUUAUAUGUAUUAGUUAUAAAAUAAUAAUUAUAAUUAUAAUAAUAGAAUAGUAAGUGGAAGCAUGCAAAAUUAAGAGAAAAAGAAGAAAGAAAAAAAUAAAGAAAGAAAUGAAGGCGAACGCACGAACAUAAAGGUUCAAAACUUUUCAAGUUUAAUUGGUUAGUCAAUUUAGUCUCUUUUCUUGUCAUUUUUAUAUUUUUGGAAUCCCAGUGUUUAGUAUUACUCGACCCAUGUUGAAAUUUUAGCAUUGAUUAAGAUUUUAAAUGUUAUUAAUGUUGAAUAGUUUUAGUAUUAGGGAUUAAAUUGAUAAAUUUUAAGCUAGAAAUGGAAAAGGAUUAAAUUGUAGAAUAAAUUGUAAAUUUUGGGUAAUAUGGAUAAAUUGUGAAAUUUUUGAAAUUUAUGGGUUUAAUUGAAAAUAGGAAGCUAAAUUUAGCUUAAAGUGAAAUUAGUAUAAAAUAUAGGACUAAAUAUGAAGAAUAAAAUUAGUUUCGGUUUAGGGACUAAAUUGGAAUUUAAACCAAUAUUGAAUAAAAAUUAAAAUAUUCAAUGUGAAAUUGAAUUGUAUUGUAUUGAUGUAUUUUAAUUGUUUUAAUUCCGUAGCUAACGUCGUACUGGAAUCCUCGACUAAAAAUGGGAAGGAUAAAAUCGACGUCAAAUAGCUCGGAAUCCACGGUUUGUAUUCCUAUAAUCUGAACCUAGUUGUUAAUUGUUGUAUUUUGAUUUAAUGCAUAUGGUAAGUGAUUGAGGUGAGUAUUUUGGCACUUUGAUAGUGAAUUGAAAUUAUAGUUGAUUAAAAUGGAUUGAAUUGGUAUAUACAUUAUAAAUGUAUUGAUUAUUUGAAUUGAAAUGAAUAUAUGUGUAAAUGUGAUAAUGUGCAAAUAUGAUAAUUGGAUAUUGGUUAUAUUUGAAAAGUGAAAUAACUGUAUCAGGCUGAGUCGAAUAUAAAUGGCAUACCAUAGGAUAGGAAAAGUUUAGAGAUUUCUUUGACUUCUAGUCGAUGAGGAACUAGGUGCCAAUUUGCUUUAGUUUAACUGAUGAGACACUGGGUGUAACACCCUUAACCCGUAUCCGUCGUCAGACUAGGGUUAAGAGGCAUUACCGGACAUAUCGAAACGUUUAACGUUCAUUUCACAGUCAUCGUAGCAUCAUAGUCAUACAUCAAUACAGAGUCUCUUACAUAAGUCAACGAGACCUUAAACAUGCUUUAGAAAGGGGUCGGGACUAAACCGAAUGCAUACAAAAUUUUUCGAAACUUAGACAUUUUUCAAAGUUAUACAGGUCACACGCCCAUGUGAACAGACCGUGUGCCUCACACGGCAUUAGACACGUCCGUGUGUCUAGACCGUGGCAAAACAGGGCAUACAUACUGACUUUACAACACGACCACAAGACACGACCGUUUGCCUUGGCCAUGGUCGAAACUGACGUGGGUUACUCGACCGAUCACACGCCCGUGUGUCUAGCUCGUGUACCCUUCGAAAUGGCCACACAUGCCCAUGUGCCAAGGCUGUGUACCUCAAAUGGCCACCAGACACGCUUGUGUGUCUAGGUCGUGCUCAAGACUGACUUGUAUAACUAAGUUACAGCAGACACAUGAUCGAGACAUACGCCCAUGUGCUCAACCGUGUGGGAUGAAAUUGGGCUUGGUUUAAGCCACAUUUCCCACCUAUCUCAAGCACAUCAAAACCACAACAUUUUUCAUCAUUUAUAGGCAACCAAUCAACCAUUUCAUACAUAAUCCAUAACAUCCAAAUACUAUCCAAUUCACUACUCAAUUCCACAACCUAAAUAUACCAAAUCAAUAUACCAAAAUCAUUACAAUUUAUAUGAGUUUCAAAUGUAUAAACUCAUCAUCUUAUCACAAUUUCAUACCAUAAAAUUUAUCAUUUCAACAUUUCAUAAUCAAACCAUCACAUAAGCAAUACUUACAUCAUAUAACCUAUUUAACAAACACACCAUUUAGGCCAACUUAAAAGGCCGUACAUAUCAACUACUACAAGCUAAAACUCAUGGCUAAUAUUCACAUCACAAAACAUACCAAAAUGACACUAGCCUAUACAUGCCAUAUACCAUAUAUACAUCUCUCAAAAUGGUACCAAAAUAGAUGUCCGAUAGUGUGAUUUAUGUCGAUGAUGAUCCCCAAAUUUGAGCUAGCUCUAUAACACUGUAAAACAGAGAACAUUUCACACAGUAAGCUUUAAAAGCUUAGUAAGUUCGUACCAAAUAUAAUCAACAGUUUAUAUAAUAUUAAACAUCAUCUAAUAAUUACUUAGUAGUUCACAAAUCAUCUCUCAAUUCUAUUCCAUCACACUUAACAUGUUCAUACAAGUUUAUCAAGCUCCAUACACAUAGUAUCAUCUACCACAUAGAUAUUAUACAUACCUGAUCUUUUCCGUAUUUAUUCAUUUCAUUCUCACCUCCCGUUCAAAUACAUUAAGUCAUUCGGAAGUCUUUCCAUGUUUUAAGAAUUCGCACACUUAGUGCAGUAAUGAUUAGCCGAAGCUAUAAAGAUAUCGCACACUUAGUGUCAUCUCAACUAACUGAAAUUAUCUCAGUAUUGCACACUUAGUGCCUCAUAUAGCCAAAGCUAUUUCAACUCGCACACUUAAUGCUAUUUAUAGCCGAAGCUGUUUGAAUCGCACACUUAGUGCCGAACAUAGUCGAUUUUUCAUCAUGUCCAAACCAAGCUCAAAUAUAGACAAUUUAUAUAUUAUAAAAACAUUAAAACAUAAAUUGUAUUAUCAUUUAUCACGUACGAACUUACCUUGUACUCAGUAUUGACGAUUAGGAUCGUUUACUCGAUAAUCUUCGAUUUUCCUCGAUUUAAAUUCGAAUUCCUCUUUUCUUGAUCUAUAUGUAUUCAAAAUUAACCCUUUUAUUCAAAAAAAAUCAUUCAAUUCAAUCCAUAUACACAUAUUUAGGGAAUUUUACCAAUUAGCCCUCACAUUUUCACAUUUUAACACUUUAGUCCAUUUUUCAUAAAAACACAAAUUACACCAAAUUUCCAUACACACUUGCUUAGCCGAAUAUACAUGGUGUUCAUGUAAGCCCACACAUUUCAUUUAUUUCACAUUUUAAUCCCUCAAAAUCUCAUUUUUACAGUUUUGCCCAAAUUACUCAAAUUCAUCAAAAAUUCAAAGACAAAACAUGUUAACCCAACAUCAAACUUCCAUAUACUAUCAUCAAACUUCAUAAAACUUAUAAUAUCAACAAUGACACAACUCAAAAUCAUCAAAAAAAUCAGAAAUUGAGACAUGGGCUUGAUAGUUUACUAAGCAACGAUCACAAAAACGUAGAAAUUAUCAAAAAUGGAGCAAAACUCAUACCUUAAUCAAAAUGAACAAGGGUCGAAUAUCAAAACCUAGCUUUGGCUUCUUCUUCUUUUAAUUUUCGGCAUGGAUGAACACAAAAAUGACUAAUUUCAUGCUUUUGUUUUAUUAAAAACAUAAUAAUUCAUCAUUUACUAAUUUGCCCUUUAUUAAUUAACAUACAAUUCAUGUUAAUUAAGGCUAUUAAUGUCCAUUAAACAUGUAAAUGGAAUAUUAACCAUAUAAGGGCCUCUCAAUUAAAGAGACAUAGAAAUUAAGCACUUUAACAAACAACAGGCAACUUUUACAUUUUACGCGAUUAGGUCCUCUUAUAAAAUUAAGCAUACAAUUGAUAAAAUUAACACAUGAAACUUUCACACAUGCUUAAACACAUACUGUAAACACGAAAAAUAAUAUUAAAAUAUUUUUUUGACUCAGAUUUGUGGUACCAAAAUCACUAUUUUGACUAGGGUCUAAAACGGGCUAUUACAAUUCUCCCUCUUAGGAAUUUUCGUCCCCGAAAAUCUUACCAGUGAAUAGGUUUGGAUAUUGUUUUCUCAUAGCAUCCUCGGGUUCCCAUGUGGCUUAUUCAACCCCAUGCUGAUGUCACAAUACUUUCACUAAUGUAAUUUUUUUAUUUCUCAACUUUUUUAUCUCACGAGCUAAGAUCUGUAUCAGUUCUUCAUCAUAAGACAUAUCAUAAUGAAUUUCAACCUCAGUCAGGGAAAUGACAUGCGAAGGAUCUAAUAUGUAUCUUCGUAGCAUCAAUACAUGAAAUACAUAUGUAUCUUUUCUAACUCAGACGGCAAUGCUAGUCGAUAAGCUACUGGUCCAAUUCACUCGAUAAUCUCAUACGGCCCGAUGAAUCUUGGACUCAAUUUUCUUUUUCUGCCGAACCGAAAUACUUUCUUCCACGGGGAUACUUUCAAAAACACUUUCUCAUUGAUAUCAAAUUCAAUGUCUUUUCUUUUCAAAUCUGCAUACGAUUUCUGACGAUCCGUGGUUGCUUUCAGACUAUCACGUAUUACUCACUUUUUUUUUCUGUUUCUCUUAUCAGAUCAACCCCGUGAAUCUUAUUCUCACUAAGCUUUGUCCAGUACAAUGGUGUUCGACAUUUUUGACUAUUUAAAGCCUCGUAAGGGGCCAUUUUGAUACUCGAUUGAAAGCUAUUAUUAUAUGCAAAUUCAAUCAAUGGCAAGUAUCGUUCCUACGUACCUUCAAACUCAAAAAUACAACAUCUCAACAUAUCCUCAAGCAUCUGAAUAAUCCGUUCAGAUUGACCAUCCAUUUGUGGGUGAAAAGUAGUGCUAAAAUGUAGUUUCGUACCUAAUGCAUCUUGCAGUUUCUUCUAAAACUGUGAUGUGAACCUCAGAUCUCUAUCCGAAACAACAAAAAUAGGUACUCCGUGCAAUCUCACAAUCUGAGAAAUAUACAGCUCAGUAAGCUUAUCAAGUGAAUAAUCUGUACGAACCGGAAUAAAAUGAGCCGAUUUAGUUAAUCUAUCAACAACAAGCCAUAUUGCAUCAUUCUUACUCGAUGUCAGAGGUAAACCCGAUACAAAAUCAUUCGUGAUUUGUCCAAUUUCCAUUCAAGAAUCAUAAUUGGUUAAAGUAACCCAAACAGAAUCUGAUGCGCAGCUUUAACUUGCUGACAAAUUAAACAUUUCGAAACAAAUUCUGAGAUAUCUCGUUUCAUACCAUGCUACCAAUAAAGCUAUUUCAGAUCAUUAUACAUUUUAGUACUUCUCGGAUGAACAGAUAGACGAUUGCUAUGAGCUUCAUUUAAAAUCAUCUGAAUUAACUCUGGAAUUCUCGGAACACAAAUCCGACCUCGGAAUCUCAAACAAUCAUUAUCAUCAACUCGGAAGUCUAAAUCAGUAUUCAAAUCACAUUGAGCUCGUUUUGCUAAUAAUUCAUUACCAACCUUCUGAGCUUCGUAAAUCUGCUGAAUAAAUAACGGUCUCGCUUUCAAUUCAGCUAAAACCAAACCAUCAAAUAUACACAACUAAGCAUUCAUAGCACAUAAUGUAAACAAUGAUUUCCAACUUAAAGCAUUAGCAACCACAUUUGCUUUUCCUGAAUGAUAAUCAAUAACAAGCUCGUAGUCUUUUAACAGUUCUAGCCAUCUUCUCUGUCGUAGAUUCAAAUCUUUCUGAGUCAUCAGAUAUUUCAAACUCUUAUGAUCUGAAUAUAGAUGACAUUUCUCACCAAACAGAUAGUGGUGCCAAAUCUUCAACGCGAACACAAUAGCUGCCAAUUCCAGAUUAUGUGUCGGAUAGUUCUUUUCAUGCGGCUUUAACUGUCUCGGUGCAUAAGCUAUGACUUUGUCUUCCUACAUCAAAACACAACCUAAACCAUUCAAAGAUUCAUCGUUAUAGAUCACAAUUUUUUUACCCGAUUUUGGUUGUACUAACAUUAGAGCUUCUGUCAAUAGAGCUUUCAACUGAUCAAAUCUUUUCUGACACUUUUUUGACCAUUCAAAUUUUCACAUCUUUCUAAAGCAAUUUUGUCAACGGAGUCGCAAUCAUAGAAAAGCCUUUUACGAACCGUCGGUAAUAACCAGCAAGUCCAAGAAAACUGCGGACUUCAGAAACAUUUCUCAGAGGUUUCUAAUCCAAAAUAGCGGAAAUCUUGCUCGGAUCAACUCGUAUACCAGAUGUUGAUACAAUAUGGCCCAGAAAACCAACUUUGUGUAACCAGAACUCACAUUUACUAAACUUCGUAGAUAACUGCUUAUCACGCAAAGUCUGUAGCACUAUUCUCAAAUAUUCGAUAUGUUCGGUUUCAUUAUGUGAAUAUAUCAAAAUGUCAUCAAUGAAUACAAAAAAAAAUCGAUCUAAAUACGGUCUAAAAAUUCUGUUCAUCAAAUCCAUAAAAACAACAGGUGCAUUUGUUAAUCCGAAAGGCAUAACUAAAAACUCAUAGUGGUCAUACGUCAUUCGAAAAGUAAUUUUCGGAAUAUCUGAAUCUUUUACUUAUAACUGAUAAUAUCCCGAUCUGAGAUCUAUCUUUGAAAACACGGUAUCUCCUUUCAGCUGAUCAAAUAAAUCAUCAAUUCGAGACAGUGGAUAUUUGUUCUUGAUAGUCACUUUGCUCAACUGACGAUAAUUAAUACAUAUUCUCAUCAUACCUCUUUCUUUUUCAUACAGAACAAGAGCACCCUAAAGUGAGAAACUCAGUCAUGCAAAUCCUCUAUUGGAAGCUUGUUGGAUUGGAAGCUCAACGGAGAUCACUCAUACUAUCCAUCGGCCCAUGUCGGUACAAUAUGGUAAAUCAAUUAUGGUUGUAAUGGCGUGUAAAUGUUAUAUUGGCCAUAUUGGCAUGUAAAUGUAAAUGAUGCUUGUAAUCUAGCCAUUGGAAUGGCUAGUAAUGAUUUGUUUUAAUAUACUUGUAAUGUGAUGCUAUGGUAGCUAUAUAUAUAUGUUAAGUAGUUGAUCAAAUCAUGUUUAACACAUGGAUUGAACUAAGGUAAGAUUGUAAACAUGUAUGCAUGCAAUGAUAUGCCAUGUUGAAUGAUGGAAAUUGAUUAAUUUGAAUGCUUGAAAUGGUUGGAAUGUGUUUG